RNAcentral lists this ribosomal RNA (495 nucleotides) under uncultured bacterium. RNAcentral's name for it is "partial 16S ribosomal RNA". It matches the Rfam family "Bacterial small subunit ribosomal RNA", at positions 28 to 507 of the family's 1533-position model. The record is from RNAcentral.
GACGAACGCUGGCGGCGUGCCUAAUACAUGCAAGUAGAACGCUGAAGGAGGAGCUUGCUUCUCUGGAUGAGUUGCGAACGGGUGAGUAACGCGUAGGUAACCUGCCUGGUAGCGGGGGAUAACUAUUGGAAACGAUAGCUAAUACCGCAUAAGAGUAGAUGUUGCAUGACAUUUGCUUAAAAGGUGCAAUUGCAUCACUACCAGAUGGACCUGCGUUGUAUUAGCUAGUUGGUGGGGUAACGGCUCACCAAGGCGACGAUACAUAGCCGACCUGAGAGGGUGAUCGGCCACACUGGGACUGGGACACGGCCCAGACUCCUACGGGAGGCAGCAGUAGGGAAUCUUCGGCAAUGGACGGAAGUCUGACCGAGCAACGCCGCGUGAGUGAAGAAGGUUUUCGGAUCGUAAAGCUCUGUUGUAAGAGAAGAAAGAGUGUGAGAGUGGAAAGUUCACACUGUGACGGUAUCUUACCAGAAAGGGACGGCUAACUACGUG